Phalacrocorax carbo (great cormorant) is the source of this 4342-nucleotide non-coding RNA. The record is from RefSeq and is a predicted model, not a curated record. Lineage: Eukaryota; Metazoa; Chordata; Aves; Suliformes; Phalacrocoracidae.
CAGCAAGAGAAAAAUGUGCUAUGUCAGUCCUUGCAGAGAACCAGGAUGGGCCUCCAGUGGAGAUAAUCCAGUGCAGUUUGCCUUAGGCACCUCUUCUGUCCUCCAUGACCUUUCAAAGAUGAUGGAGAGUGGCCCAGCAAGAACACCUGCCAGCUCCUUCAGCACUCGUGGAUGUAUCGCAUCAGGGCCCAUGGAAUUGUGAGCAUCCAGUUUGCACAGGUCUCCUGGCUCCUUUGCCUGACUUCUUCCUCCUGGGGAUGCACCGAUCUUGAGCUUGGAGGAAGUGGACCUUGAAAAUUGACCAGCUCUUUUGGACCCCAUCCAAGAUGCAUAGCUGCAUGGCAGUGAUCUCCCCUUGAGCAAGGACGUGUCUCAAAGUUGCUCCUCAAGGCAGAGAGACCUUUUACCAAUGGUAAUCUUGAGUAAGGAACUAAUAGCAUGUAUAAAUUUGUAGUAUGGCAAGUUUAAUUUGUGACUUGGUAACUUUGAUUUGUGACUUGGUAGAUUUGAUUUGUGUCUUGGUAGUUUUGACUAUUAUUCAAAUGAUUGUGCCAUACAGAAAUAGAGUGAACCUUGCCAUUGAAAUUUAAGUUGCACUUUUACUUAUAUUAUAGCCACUUUUGCAAAUACCUUUGACAGCAGUUCUUUAAGCUAAAUCACUCGUUCACAACAGUGUGCUACUUCAUUAUGACACCACAACGCUGCAUUAUACUCUGCACACAGACAAAAACCUAAGAACAAUAACAACAAAAAAUUCCAGUUCCCUUGCAGAAUUAUUCUACUGUGCAAUGACACUCUUCUGUUUUAAAGAUAAUUUAUGAUAACGGCCUUCUAGUCUUUCUUGAAUGAGGUUCACUAAGGUCUAGCAGACUUCAAUAGAAUUUUUGUAAUUUCCAUAAUGUUAUAUAUUUUGGAUCCAAAAAUUAGCUGCUAAUGUGACAGAAAUAUUAACAAGUUACAGCUCAUAUCUUCAGUCUUAUUACUGUACCAUAUUAUGCUAUAAUAUUUUUUCCCACAAAUUCAUCAUUUUUCCUCUCUCCACUGCUAUGUCAUGAAAUUCACAAGAUUAAAAAUAAAGUCUAUAUCAAUUCAGAAAAAAAUAUCUUAACCUUCUAUUAAAUUGGCUUUAAUUUCUUUCUCUACUCUCCCAGUUAUUGGUCUAUUAUUUAACAUAUUAUCUGUAUUAUACUCUUAUUAGAGUGUGUAGGUAUGGUUCAUGAACACAUGCUUUUUGUGGAUCUAUUUCUUUGUGGGUUUUCUUCUAAUGCAGAUGCCAGUCCUGCAGACAGAACACACACAUCCAUGCACAUGCACUCUUGAUUUAUUUGAUUAGCUUUUCUAGCCUCCCAGCUAUUCAUAUUCCAAGUACCUCUUUGCUUUCUUAGACUGGGGACAGUAAGACACAUUUGGAUAUGAUUAGGCUUUUUAAAAAUAGAUUCCAUAAUAAACAAAUGUAAAAGGCAUAUUUUUUUCUCUGCAAAGGGGGAAAGACUGAUUCUGUUCAAAGUUUCCAGAAUGGAAACUUUUUCCAAUAAACAUAGAAGCCAGACUGAAUAAAUCAACUGGUCUUCAUCUUUUUGCUUAGUACUUAAUGUAUUCCUCCUGUGUUUGUAUGAUAAAGACCAUUUAUUGGGCAUCAGUACCAAAAUUAUACCAGUUUUGAUGUUGGAUCCUAAGACUGUCAUCUAGUAAGAAACAAACAAAGAGUAUCUGUGAGCAGCUGACCAAUAAAUUGGACUUCAUCACAAAUUCAAUACCAUCCAGCGAAGCAUUGGGAUAUUGCUGGCUUCAAUUUAUGAAAAAGGAUUUUUACAGACAGUGUGCCAAUCAUCCAAAAGGAUGGUUGAAAAUUACUGUUGGAUUGGCAUAUUAAUGAUCACAGGAGACCAAUGUAAAUGUCAUGAACUAUUGGGAAAGAAUAAACUGAGCAUUAAUACUACUCCUCAUCUGUUCCCAGUGUGCACAGAUAAAAAUUUUAUCACAACAAACAGCAUGGUACUUUGCAUGAAUUAUUAAAUCAUAUGCAUACAAGAGGGUUCAUAAUUAAACAGAAAGACUUACUGAGGAUUAUCAUAACUGACAAUGUCUAGAGCCUGCAAAGUCCAGCUAUAAGUCAAGAGACUAAUGUGUAUGAUUGCUUUUAAUUUGUACAACAAUUUGUGCGUUAUUAACUUAUAACACUUUUAGAUAUUUCCACAGGGGAGUAGAAUGUACAAUUAGUCUUUCAGUAUGUGUAUGUCAAACAUGAAUAAUAAAUAUUGAACAUAUAGCAUUAUUUAUAUGCAAUCACUUUUAUCUGUCAUAAUACAAAUAACUUCAUUACAAUUAGCUAUUUAAUGCAGAAAUUCAGUUUAAACUAAAUGUUGUCCUUUGUGCAUUAUUAUGUAUGAGCCCUUCUAAUUUGCCUUCUGUUUUACAUUUUUAGGCACAGAAUCACAUGCUUGCAACUCCCAAGGGCUUAUUUUGUAUUUCAGUGAUGAACAAUUCAGCCUUAAGUUUCAGGAUCCUAACUGGACACUCAGCCAUUGCAGGGCUGGAGAAUUUCUGCAGCAUAUGUGGCAUAACCACACACCUGGAGAAUUUUGUCUUUUUACUUUGAAGUAGCCUCGUAGGCAGAACAUUGAGAAUUGGACAGAAGGCUGAUUGUGCACAUCUCCGUGAUGGGAAGGUGAAGAAGAGGGACAGUACAGCAGCAAGAAAAAGAAAAAAUCAAAACAAAACCCAACAAGAAUGACAACAAGAACAAAGGCAACCCUAUCCAAAGAUCCAUACCUGACAUGCAUCUGUGAGAGGUGGAGUCCAGAUGGCUAAUCAUAGGCUUCUAACAGAUUUUCAGCUCAAGCAAAGAUCUAUGAGACUUGAGCUAAUUAAGCACCUUAGGUAAACAGGGCUGAAGCGGUAUGUUUCUCACACAAUCAUUACGUGAAUAAUAUAUUUAUCUAAAGGCAAAGAGAAGGAGAACAUCCCAGGGAGAGGUAGGGAAGUUUCCUAGGACACCUGCAGAAACAGGAAGACCAAGUACUUUGUGCGAACCGCUACAAUCUUGUCAGGCCUUAAAGCAAGGUUGCAAAAAGACAGAUUUUGGGCCUAACUGUGUUGGGAAGUAAAUGAAAGGUAGAAAACUACUGACUGUUACAAGACUUCAAGAAGUGAUGGAGAACUAUGCUGGGAAACAGCUGUCAGAGGAGCAGUUAAAAUGAAAAGAGAAGUCAGAUCCACAGACUCUGCUUGCUAAUGUUCUCAUAAUCACAGUGCUGUGUCUAGGUUCAUAAGAUCAAACCCUUCCUGAUGCAGAAAACAACAACCAUUUGAGAGGGAGAGAUCACAAAAUUGUUGAUGUGGACAUGCCCAUGAGACUUUUCAAAUGUUGUUGAUGAUGAGAGAACAGAUUCACACUACAAAAUGAGCUCCUUAUUGACAUCCCAGCUCUUCCUCACUUCCUUGCCCUCUCUUGCAUUCAAAGCCAGAAAAGCAGGUUUUGAAGAGUCACCACAGGGGACUGGGAAGAAACUGUCUUUCCCAACAAUCCAUUACAAGAUAGCCUGAGGCGACUUUCUUAGGUCAAAUGAAAUCAGGAGUCCAAGGAUCUAUGGUUCAGUUCUGCAUCAUAUACACUUUAAAAAUGUAAUAUAAUCUUAUUUUGGCAAGUGAAAAAAACAUGACCAGCUGUAUAUUUCCUGUGUCUUGAUUUCUUUUAAAUCAAAAGGCAAGAUUUCAAUGUCAUAAAAGGGAUUAAUCCUUUUUAAAAGAUUGCAAAACCUCCUGUGUGCACUGCUUCUACGCCAAGCUCAUCUCAAGUUAAUGGGUUUCUCUGUGGUGUGGAUGAUUGGCAUAAAGGGAAAAAGGUAGAAGAUGGAAGAAGGUGAGAAUUAGAUGCCUAGUUUGUAGUGGGUAAAUCCUACUUAUUUGUGUGGGAGAUAAAUUAUACACUCCAGACUAAAAUUUUUGGCUAGAAAACAGCAUAACUGCUAGGACGCAGAUCUUGUGAAUUUUGGAGUUGAUGUAACUACAGCAUGGGAUGCUGUUUUCCCAUCUUUCACAGGCAUCUGCUUUAGGAAACCAUUGCAAUUUACUGUAGGUAAAAUAUCCAGAAGGUGAUAGGACUUAAUGGGAAAUACACCAGAAUUAGACAGUCUCAGAUAGGAUCACAAGGUGAAUAUUGAUGAAUAACACACUCCUCCUUUAUGGACUGACUAUUUACUAUUACAGGAGACAAAAAAAUAUUCAAACUUUAACACCUAUGAAAUGAAAUAAAUGUCUCUUUUUUCUCAGUUAUUUCUUUCUUCCAUCUGUGUCAUGGUUUAACCCCAGCCAGCAAAUAAGCACCACACAUAUGCUUUCU